UACGAAGGGGGCUAGCGUUGUUCGGAAUUACUGGGCGUAAAGCGCACGUAGGCGGAUAUUUAAGUCAGGGGUGAAAUCCCAGAGCUCAACUCUGGAACUGCCUUUGAUACUGGGUAUCUAGAGUAUGGAAGAGGUGAGUGGAAUUCCGAGUGUAGAGGUGAAAUUCGUAGAUAUUCGGAGGAACACCAGUGGCGAAGGCGGCUCACUGUCCAUUACUGACGCUGAGGUGCGAAAGCGUGGGGAGCAAACAGG
RNAcentral lists this ribosomal RNA (252 nucleotides) under uncultured bacterium. Its description in RNAcentral is "partial 16S ribosomal RNA". It matches the Rfam family "Bacterial small subunit ribosomal RNA", at positions 524 to 776 of the family's 1533-position model. The record is from RNAcentral.